AAAGGAAUAGACGGGGGCCCGCACAAGCGGAGGAACAUGUGGUUUAAUUCGAUGAUACGCGAGGAACCUUACCUGGGUUUAAAUGGGGAGUGACAGGUUUAGAGAUAGAUCUUUCUUCGGACACUCUUCAAGGUGCUGCAUGGUUGUCGUCAGCUCGUGCCGUGAGGUGUCGGGUUAAGUCCCAUAACGAGCGCAACCCACGUUGUCAGUUACCAGCACGUAGUGGUGGGGACUCUGACAAGACUGCCGGUGUAAACCGCGAGGAAGGUGUGGAUGACGUCAAAUCAGCACGGCCCUUACAUCCAGGGCUACACACGUGUUACAAUGGCCGGUACAGAGGGCAGCUACACUGCGAAGUGAUGCCAAUCCCAUAAAACCGGUCUCAGUUCGGAUCGGAGUCUGCAACUCGACUCCGUGAAGCUGGAUUCGCUAGUAAUCGCGCAUCAGCCAUGGCGCGGUGAAUACGUUCCCGGGCCUUGUACACACCGCCCGU
This 493-nucleotide ribosomal RNA is filed under the name uncultured bacterium. Its description in RNAcentral is "bacterial SSU rRNA". It matches the Rfam family "Bacterial small subunit ribosomal RNA", at positions 903 to 1397 of the family's 1533-position model. The record is from RNAcentral.